GAUGAACGCUGGCGGCGUGCCUAAUACAUGCAAGUCGAGCGAACAGACGAUGAGCUUGCUCCUCUGACGUUAGCGGCGGACGGGUGAGUAACACGUGUAUAACCUACCUAUAAUACUGGGAUAACUUCGGGAAACCGGAGCUAAUACCGGAUAAUAUAUUGAACCGCAUGGUUCAAUAGUGAAAGACGGUGUUGCUGGCUCUUAUAGCUGGAUCCGCGCGGCUUUAUGUAGUUGGUAAGGUAACGGCUUAUCAAGGCGACCAUGCGUAGCCGACUUGAGAGGGUGAAGGGCGACAGUGGAACUGACACACGGUACAGGCUCUGAGGUGAGGCCGAGGUGGGGAAUCUAGCGAACAGGGGGGAAGAUUGAAGGAGGAACGCAGCGUGGGUGAUGAAGGUCUUCGGAUCGUAAAACUCUGUUCGUAGGGAAGAACAAAUGUGCAAGUAACUAUGCACGUCUGGACGGUACCUAAAAAGAAGGCCACGGCUAACUAGGU
This 496-nucleotide ribosomal RNA is filed under the name uncultured bacterium. Its description in RNAcentral is "partial 16S ribosomal RNA". It matches the Rfam family "Bacterial small subunit ribosomal RNA", at positions 28 to 506 of the family's 1533-position model. The record is from RNAcentral.